RNAcentral lists this long non-coding RNA (240 nucleotides) under Gallus gallus (chicken). The record is from RNAcentral. Lineage: Eukaryota; Metazoa; Chordata; Aves; Galliformes; Phasianidae.
AAGGGAAAGCUGAUGCCAUCGCUGGGGGGUUCUCCAGUGCCAGGAGUCUUCAGUGAGCCCUCACCACCCCCAGGCUGCUGGUUUGGCUCAGGAAAGGAGGACACUGGUCUGGUCUUCUUGGCAAUGCUGGAAGUUAAGGAUUGGUCUCAGUUUGGUCUCUUUUCAUUGCUUUGAGAGAAAGUUCAUAGCCAAGAAACAUGGCUGAACUCGUUGGAAAUCCUCGCACUGCAUUGAUUGUGA